GAUUAAGUAUAUUGGUAGGGACUGACUAGUAUAUUCCAAGGGAACAAGGAUGGACUAGUAUAAUGGAGUAAGGAUGGAUGAGUAUAUAGGUAUGGAUCAAGGAUGGACAAGUACAUAAGUAUCGAUCAAGGAUGGACUAGUACAUAGGUAUCGAUCAGGGAUGGACAAGUACAUAGGUAUCGCUCAAGGAUGGACUAGUACAUAGGUAUCGCUCAAGGAUGGACUAGUACAUAGGUAUCGAUCAAGGAUGGACAAGUACAUAGGUAUCGAUCAAGGAUGGACUAGUACAUAGGUAUCGCUCAAGGAUGGACUAGUACAUAGGUAUCGAUCAAGGAUGGACAAGUACAUAGGUAUCGAUCAAGGAUGGGCAAGUACAUAGGUAUCGAUCAAGUCCAAUAUAAAAUAUAAAACAUGCUAUGUUUUAUAUAGCACAUCAUCAGUCCAACUGGCCAACUGAUGAUGAUCCACAUUCCCAAAGGUAAUGGUCACAGUCCAAUAUCGUUUAAUCACAGCAGCCCAAGAGAAAAAGUAUUCAUGAGUCAGACUGCACAGUUGUUUGUUUGUUCUUUAACACAGCAAUAUUCCAGCUAUAUGGCGGCUGUCUGUAACUAAUCAAGUCUGGAUCAGACAAUCCAGUGAUCAGUAUCAUGAGCAUCGAUCUAUGCAAUUGGGAUACGAUGACAUGUGCCUGACCACCCCAUCCCGUUAGUCACCUCAUACGACAAGCAUGGGUUGCUGAAGACCAAUUUUAACCUGAAGUCAGACUGCAUAGAUACUGUUAGGAAAUGUUGAAGGAUUAGAUGGAGCUGCUGAUGCAAUAUUCACCACUUUUGAUGCAUUAUUUAGCCACUGUUUUGAGGGUGGCAUUAGAAUGUUCUUUCAGGAUAUGAUAUGUCUGUGUAUGUGCCAAAGUUUCUUUUUGAGUUUGUAAAAUCAUUUGCUACCUGUGUAUGUUUUCAUUGCAGUAUUUCAUAUCAAUGAGGGCAAGUAUUCUUACUUUCCUUGUUCAUACAUGUUUGAACUUGUAAAUAUAUACUAGAAAAAGUGCUAUAUAAAACAUGAUUAUUCUG
This is a long non-coding RNA of Haliotis rubra (blacklip abalone), 1070 nucleotides long. RefSeq lists it as uncharacterized. The transcript has 2 exons. The record is from RefSeq and is a predicted model, not a curated record. Lineage: Eukaryota; Metazoa; Mollusca; Gastropoda; Lepetellida; Haliotidae.